RNAcentral lists this non-coding RNA (113 nucleotides) under Candidatus Brevifilum fermentans. RNAcentral describes it as "Brevefilum fermentans SAM riboswitch aptamer (S box leader)". It matches the Rfam family "SAM riboswitch aptamer (S box leader)". From Rfam's summary of the family: The SAM riboswitch is found upstream of a number of genes which code for proteins involved in methionine or cysteine biosynthesis in Gram-positive bacteria. The SAM riboswitch acts at the level of transcription termination control. Lineage: Bacteria; Bacillati; Chloroflexota; Anaerolineae; Anaerolineales; Anaerolineaceae. The record is from Rfam by way of RNAcentral.
GACUCAUCCAGAGAGGUGGAGGGACCGGCCCGAUGAUACCUCGGCAACCACAGAGAUUAAUGCAGGUGCCAAUUCCGGCAGACCCCGAUUUGGGACGUUCUGGAAGAUGAGGU